UACGUAGGGACCGAGCGUUGUCCGGAUUCAUUGGGCGUAAAGAGCUCGUAGGCGGUCUGUCGCGUCGGCUGUGAAAACCCGUGGCUCAACCCCGGGCCUGCAGUCGAUACGGGCAGACUAGAGUGCGGUAGGGGAGACUGGAAUUCCUGGUGUAGCGGUGAAAUGCGCAGAUAUCAGGAGGAACACCGGUGGCGAAGGCGGGUCUCUGGGCCGUAACUGACGCUGAGGAGCGAAAGCGUGGGGAGCGAACAGG
RNAcentral lists this ribosomal RNA (253 nucleotides) under uncultured bacterium. RNAcentral describes it as "partial 16S ribosomal RNA". It matches the Rfam family "Bacterial small subunit ribosomal RNA", at positions 524 to 776 of the family's 1533-position model. The record is from RNAcentral.